Molecule: ribosomal RNA, 628 nt
Filed under: uncultured bacterium
Lineage: Bacteria
Description: bacterial SSU rRNA
Rfam family: Bacterial small subunit ribosomal RNA
Source: RNAcentral
GACGAACGCUGGCGGCGUGGAUUAGGCAUGCAAGUCGAGCGAGAAAAGGUUCUUCGGAGCCUGAGUAAAGCGGCGAAAGGGUGAGUAGUACCUAGGUAACCUGCCCCAAAGCCGGGGAUAACGAUCGGAAACGAUUGCUAAUACCCGAUGUGGCGGUGCGUCCUCGGACGUGUCGUCAAAGGUAGCCUCUGUUUCAAGCUUCCGCUUUGGGAGGGGCCUCGGGCCUAUCAGCUUGUUGGUGGGGUAACGGCCCACCAAGGCUGGGACGGGUAGCCGGUCUGAGAGGAUGGUCGGCCACACUGGGACUGAGACACUGCCCAGACUCCUACGGGAGGCUGCAGUCGAGGAUCUUCUGCAAUGGACGAAAGUCUGACAGAGCGACGCCGCGUGCGGGAGGAAGGCCUUCGGGUUGUAAACCGCUGUUACCCGUUAUGAAUCGUCUGUCGUUAACAGCGGCAGGCGUGACAAAGCCGGGGAAGAAAGUCACGGCUAACUUCGUGCCAGCAGCCGCGGUAAUACGAAGGUGGCAAGCGUUGUUCGGAAUUACUGGGCAUAAAGCGCGCGUAGGCGGCUUGGCAAGUCGGAUGUGAAAUCCCUCAGCUCAACUGAGGAACUGCGUCCGAUACUG